AUUGAACGCUGGCGGCAUGCCUUACACAUGCAAGUCGAACGGCAGCGCGGGGGCAACCUGGCGGCGAGUGGCGAACGGGUGAGUAACAUAUCGGAACAUACCCUAGAGUGGGGGAUAACGUAGCGAAAGUUACGCUAAUACCGCAUACGCACUAAGGUGGAAAGUGGGGGAUUCGCAAGAACCUCAUGCUCAUGGAGUGGCCGAUAUCUGAUUAGCUAGUUGGUGAGGUAAAGGCUCACCAAGGCGACGAUCAGUAGCUGGUUUGAGAGAACGACCAGCCACACUGGAACUGAGACACGGUCCAGACUCCUACGGGAGGCAGCAGUGGGGAAUUUUGGGACAAUGGGGGCAACCCUGAUCCAGCAAUGCCGCGUGAGUGAAGAAGGCCUCGGUUGU
Molecule: ribosomal RNA, 396 nt
Filed under: uncultured bacterium
Lineage: Bacteria
Description: bacterial SSU rRNA
Rfam family: Bacterial small subunit ribosomal RNA
Source: RNAcentral